GUGGGGAAUAUUGCACAAUGGGGGAAACCCUGAUGCAGCGACGCCGCGUGAGUGAGGAAGUAUUUCGGUAUGUAAAGCUCUAUCAGCAGGGAAGAAAAUGACGGUACCUGACUAAGAAGCCCCGGCUAACUACGUGCCAGCAGCCGCGGUAAUACGUAGGGGGCAAGCGUUAUCCGGAUUUACUGGGUGUAAAGGGAGCGUAGACGGAAUAGCAAGUCUGAUGUGAAAACCCGGGGCUCAACUCCGGGAGUGCAUUGGAAACUGUUGAUCUAGAGUGUCGGAGAGGCAAGCGGAAUUCCUAGUGUAGCGGUGAAAUGCGUAGAUAUUAGGAGGAACACCAGUGGCGAAGGCGGCUUGCUGGACGAUGACUGACGUUGAGGCUCGAAAGCGUGGGGAGCAAACAGG
RNAcentral lists this ribosomal RNA (405 nucleotides) under uncultured bacterium. RNAcentral describes it as "bacterial SSU rRNA". It matches the Rfam family "Bacterial small subunit ribosomal RNA", at positions 354 to 776 of the family's 1533-position model. The record is from RNAcentral.